GUCUGGGUGGUGUGGUUGGUUAUCACGUUGGUCUCACACACUAAAGGUCCCCAGUUCGAACCUGGGCUCAGACA
RNAcentral lists this transfer RNA (74 nucleotides) under Triticum aestivum (bread wheat). RNAcentral's name for it is "tRNA tRNA-Val". It matches the Rfam family "tRNA". Rfam says of the family: Transfer RNA (tRNA) molecules are approximately 80 nucleotides in length. Their secondary structure includes four short double-helical elements and three loops (D, anti-codon, and T loops). RNAcentral also lists the same sequence under 1 other name. Lineage: Eukaryota; Viridiplantae; Streptophyta; Magnoliopsida; Poales; Poaceae. The record is from Rfam by way of RNAcentral.